ACUAAUGUUGCUGCAGUUAAAAAGCUCGUAGUUGGAUUUCUGGCUUUGGCGCACCCGGCCCAGCCUUUGGUUUGGGUGCCGGCGUGCGCCGGCCACUGUUCCAGGCGAUCUGCUCUGCCAUUGAUUUGGUCGGGGUAGGGAGCCUGGUCUUUCACUGUGAAUAAAUUAGAGUGUUCAAAGCAGGCCGCAGUGCUUUGAAUAGCCCAGCAUGGAAUGAUAAGAUAGGGCUUCGGGUGUGGGGGCGUUUCGGCGCUCUUGCACUUCCUUGUUUUGUUGGUUUUAAGGGCCGGAGUAAUGAUUGAUAGGGAGCGUUGGGGGUGCUAGUAUUCAAUGGCCAGAGGUGAAGUUCUUGGAUUCAUUGAAGACUAACAUCAGCGAAAGCAUUCACCAAGGAGCUUCUCUUUAAUCAAGAACGAAAGUUGGGGGAUCGAAGACGAUCAGAUACCGUCGUAGUCUCAACCAUAAACUAUGCCGACUGGGGAUCCGCCGAUGCUAGCCUAGCUCUCGGUGGGCACCCUAUGAGAAAUCAAAGUCUUUGGGCUCCGGGGGGAGUAUGGUCGCAAGGCUGAAACCUAAAGGAAUUGACGGAAGGGCACCACCAGGCGUGGAGCUUGCGGCUCAAUUUGACCCGACACGGGAAAACUUACCAGGUCCAGACUGAGGAAGGAUUGACAGAUUGAAGCUCUUUCUUGAUUCUCAGGGUGGUGGUGCAUGGCCGUUCUUAGUUGGUGGAGUGAUCUGUCUGGUUGAUUCCGUUAACGAACGAGACCUCAGCCUACUAAUUAGUCGGUCGGAGUCUGAUCUCCGUCCUAUCCGACUUCUUAGAGGGACUAUCUUGCGCGUAGCAGAUGGAAGUUUGAGGCAAUAACAGGUCUGUGAUGCCCUUCGAUGUUCUGGGCCGCACGCGUGCUACACUGAUGCGUUCAACGAGUGUCAAGCGGCCUUUGGUCGCUAAACCCUUGGUCGAUAGAUCCCGGGUAAUCUUCUGAAAACGCAUCGUGAUUGGGAUAGAUGAUUGCAAUUGUUCAUCUUCAACGAGGAAUGCCUAGUAAUCGCGAGUCAUCAACUCGCAAUGAUUACGUCCCUGCCCUUUGUACACACCGCCCGUCGCUUCUACCGAUUGAGUGUUCCGGUGAACUCUUAGGACCGCGCGCCCUCGUGGCGUCGCGGGAAUUUGCGUAAAUCAUAACACUUAGAGGAAGAAGAAGUCGUAACAAGGUA
This 1221-nucleotide ribosomal RNA is filed under the name metagenome. Its description in RNAcentral is "SSU rRNA". It matches the Rfam family "Eukaryotic small subunit ribosomal RNA", at positions 603 to 1801 of the family's 1831-position model. The record is from RNAcentral.